CAUGCCUUGAUUUACAAGGCAAGUUUUUUUUAUACACAGUUAGCUUGGUCUUUAAGCUAAUAUGUAUGGUACACAGCCAACUUGUUGACCACAUUUUUAAUCCAAAAAGUCAAUUAUAGAUACCUAUUAAUAUUAAAUGAACACAAUAAGUAAAAUACAAGUAAGUAGAAAUCAACAAGGUUAGACACAAAAGAAGUGUAGAAUGAGAUACCUCCCACUUCCAACACCCUUUAUUUAUAGGUGGUGGUUACUAACUAACAAAAUAACUUCCAUCCUCUUGAUAUUAUAUCCAUUUCUACUUCAUCUAACUAAAUCCUAGGUUCUUUCUUAACCUAGCUACUACCUUACUUACUUCCCUUCAUCUUUUUGCUGCCUUUUAACUAUUAGCAACUUACUUAAGGUAAUGCUUACUUACUUUAACACUCCUACUUUGCUAUUGUUCAAAGGCUAUUAAUUCUAGUACCUUUGUUAAAUUCUGAUGCCUAUCCUUCACUAGUGCUUUUGUGAGCAAAUCUGCAAGCAUGUCUUCUAUUCCACAAUACUUCAUGUCAAUCACUCCCAUUUCAAUCUUCUCUUUUAUGAAGUGAUGUU
RNAcentral lists this long non-coding RNA (591 nucleotides) under Physcomitrium patens. RNAcentral's name for it is "long non-coding RNA (PPAT_LNC006664)". Lineage: Eukaryota; Viridiplantae; Streptophyta; Bryopsida; Funariales; Funariaceae. The record is from RNAcentral.